Molecule: ribosomal RNA, 494 nt
Filed under: uncultured bacterium
Lineage: Bacteria
Description: partial 16S ribosomal RNA
Rfam family: Bacterial small subunit ribosomal RNA
Source: RNAcentral
GACGAACGCUGGCGGCGUGCUUAACACAUGCAAGUCGAACGGAAAGGCCUGCUUUCCCUUGUGGAUUGCGGGUACUCGAGUGGCGAACGGGUGAGUAACACGUGAGUGAUCUGCCCCCAACUUGGGUAUAAGCCUGGGAAACUGGGUCUAAUUCCCGAUAGGACUGCAGGGUGGUGCCUGUGGUGGAAAACGAUUUUCUAGUGGUUGGGGAUGAGCUCGCGGCCUAUCAGCUUGUUGGUGGGGUAAUGGCCUACCAAGGCGGCGACGGGUAGCCGGCCUGAGAGGGUGGACGGCCACAUUGGGACUGAGAUACGGCCCAGACUCCUACGGGAGGCAGCAGUGGGGACUAUUGCACAAUGGGCGGAAGCCUGAUGCAGCGACGCCGCGUGGGGGAUGACGGCCUUCGGGUUGUAAACUCCUUUCGACCGCGAGGAAGCCACCUGGUUGGAAGGGUGGUGACGGUAGUGGUAGAAGAAGCACCGGCUAACUACGUG